RNAcentral lists this ribosomal RNA (144 nucleotides) under uncultured bacterium. RNAcentral describes it as "partial 16S ribosomal RNA". It matches the Rfam family "Bacterial small subunit ribosomal RNA", at positions 333 to 485 of the family's 1533-position model. The record is from RNAcentral.
AGACUCCUACGGGAGGCAGCAGUGGGGAAUAUUGCGCAAUGGGCGAAAGCCUGACGCAGCGACGCCGCGUGAGGGAAGAAGGCCUUCGGGUCGUAAACCUCUGUCAGAAGGGAAGAAACCCUUGAGGGCGAAUAGGCCUUUUGG